Molecule: non-coding RNA, 7623 nt
Organism: Lactuca sativa (garden lettuce)
Lineage: Eukaryota; Viridiplantae; Streptophyta; Magnoliopsida; Asterales; Asteraceae
Source: RefSeq, a predicted model, not a curated record
UUGUAAUACUUGUACUUUACAAUUUUAGUACUUGUACUUUAAAGUUUUAGUUUUUGAGCUUUGGUACAAGAUAAAAAUUCAUGACAACGUAAUUAAUUUGUUGUGAUAUAAUUAGCCUUCCCAAUAUUUGAUAAUACACAAUAGAAUUCAAUUUACCAAUUCUCGCGCAACCAAACAAUUUAGAAAACAAAUUACAAAAUCUUAAUUUUUAACAUCAACGAAAAGAUAAACAAAUUGAUACGUUUUUGACAAUUUUAAUUUUUAUAAUCAACUAUUUAAUCCGCUGUAUCCAAAUUUGGUAACAAUUAAUGGUGAUUUCGCAUUCCAUAAAAAUAUUACUUGUUACUUGUUUGUACAUAAAACAUUACAUUGUCUACUUCUUAAAUUUCAAGAUUUGUCAAAUAUGUUUUAUAAUAUAGCAAAAAUACAAAUAUAAGUAAAUUCACCAGUGAAUCUAUCCAUAAAUCCAUUUAUGUAUGAUUAAAAUGUUGAGACUGUAAAAAGAAAAUCAAAUGAAUCAACUUAUAUUCACAUAUAAAUAUAAAUAUUUAUUAAAAUUAAUAUUUUAGCCUCGAGGUCAUAGACUAAUUUAAGUGAAAACAAGAUAAAAUAUUUAUUUGAAAAUUGCAAUGCCCAAAACGAUUAAUAAACAAACAUUUUAAUAAAUUUUAAUUGUUUACAAAACGAGAAUUAAGCAUAUUAAUAAGUUUAAGAUUUGAUAUGUUGCUUUCAUGAGGGUGUAAUUUAGAAAAUGUUAAUUUUGGAAAGCAUUUAUAAUAUUUAACCGUUGGAAGUCGAAAGAGUUGGCUUGUUAUUCCCGCAAUAUAUACGUUCUUCAGCUAUCCCGCUCUAACAUACCCAACCCGGGAGACCCAUGGCGAUCUCCGCUCCCCGGAGACCAAAGAACCACCUUCCUUCGCCGGAGAUCUAAGAAGCCCUUGGAAUUCGAAAGGACUGGUUUGUAGUCGAGCGUUAUAUUCAUCAUUCCGCUCUCAACAAACCCAAACACAACCAAACCCGUAGCGAUCUAUGUAACUACACUACCGGAGACGUAAACACCCCCAACCUUCGCAGGAUACUCUCAUUCAUCUCUCUUGUCCAAAAAAUUAUCAAGAUCAUUGAUGGAUGAGAAGCUAACAUUGGACUCAUGGAUUAAUUUUGCACUUUAUUAGUUUUGACUGAAUGUUCUUAAUCAGAACAACUGAACAAGACUUAAUUCAGUAAGGCUGUUUCUUUUUUACUUAAAGCAAAAAGAAAGAAUUACGCAAAGUUUCAAGGAGAGAAGGCUUUCCCUAUUAGAGGAAUAAGCUCUACUGUGAAGAAUAAUUAUUGUGAGAAGGUGCUUAUUCAGGUUAGCUGGUAAGUCUCAAAGUCAAAGUCAAGGUCAAAAUGAAAUGAGGAGAAAGUCUCUCAAAAUGAUGCCUGCAUAGUUCACCCUGUCACCCUCUCGAGAGUGGAUGUGCUCUGAUGUUAGGUGAUGUUCAAUCAUUUCUUAUCAGUUGUUUCAGACCAGAUAAACAAGGCAAGGUCUUGAAAUAUGCAUCUUUAUAUGCUUCACUGCUAAAGCUAGAAGUCAUUGAUGAUGAUAAAGACAAUAGACUGUGAACCCGAUAUUGAGCUCAUAGUUGAAUGGAGGAGAGACUUGAUACAGAUACUACUUCAGAAGACAUUCAUUCGAGCAGCAAGCAGAAAAACAACAGGCAAAGGCAAAAAAACCCACGACCCUGCCCUAUAUAUGGUCACGGUCAAAGUCAAAGCCCUGGUCAAAGUCAAGGUCAAAAAUGAAAGGAGGGGAAAUAUAUGGGCUUCCAAAGACCACCAGCCUCUCGAAAUGGCCCCCAAUGAUGUCAGGUCACCAUAGUUCCCAAAUACCCUCUGACCCUCUCGAGUUUAAUAAAUUAUCACUGGUGUGGGGAAAGCCACAACAGCAUCUGUUGGGGGUUGAAGAGGACAUGGAAAUGAAGAUGCUGGGGAGUAGGCAGAUAUUGACCCACAGAGAUGAUAAACACAUGUGAUUCGUGCAUACAGAAAUGCUCUUUCUAUUUUUAAAAGAACAACAUGGAUUCAUAUGCAGGAUCAUGUCCAUUUUCAUAUAGGAAUCAGGACAGUGGUAUUCUUUUCUUGGAAGGUUUGAUGUGGCAGUUAAACAUACAUUAGAAAUUGUGGCUUGUAGUCGUCAAUCAAAGCCAAUUUAUAUAUCUUAUCUUCCUUUGGCACACAUAUAACCAGAUCAUAUUGGUGUACUAUGGUGGCUCAGUUGGGUUUUAUCAAGGAGGCAACUUGAAAUUGUUGGAUGACAAGGCAAGGUAUUCGCUUCCUCCUGUAAUAUCUCACCUUCUUAUUUAUUUAGUUACGUGUUUUUUUUUUCUCUUGUAUUUGUUAAGAAAAUAUUUUGUUUUGAGAAUAUGAGUUUUCUAACCAUCAUGCUUUAUCAAACCUCACAAAUCUCAUGCCUGGGAAUUUUCCAUUAUAUAAUACUAUUUCUGGUGGCACUUCAUGGGAUCUUUGUAUGCUUCACUGCUAAAAGCUACAAGUCAUUGAUGAUGGAGGAACUUGAUAUUGAGCUCAUUGUUGAAUGGAGAUUGAUGUGGAUGUGGAUGAUGCAAAUGCUAUGAUAUUAUAAUGCGAAUCAGAGGAAUCAAAGACAAACUGUAAACACUUUUUCCAUGUUCAAAUCAUCAGAAGACGUGGAUGUAUUUCCUGUGAAUAACUUUCAAGACCCUCUUUGUCUUCAUUGAAUUAAGCUCCUUCCAAAAUCUCUUGCAAAUGGAACACCUUCAUCUUCAUCCUCUGAUAACAAUUAGAAGACAAUCAUUUGGGCAGCAGGCAGAGCCAAAAAAACUUACAACCCUGCCCUGCCCGAGAUCUUUCCAUUCAAGAUUUAGAAAAGUUUCUCAACUCUUCUGUUGAUGGUCAUGGUCAAAGUCAAAGCCAUGGUCAAAAUGAAAGGAGUAGAAUUAUAUGGGAUUCCAAAGACCGCCAAUUUCUCGAAAUGGCCCCCGAUAAUGCCACCAUAGUUCCCAAAUAUUAUCCCCCUGACCCUCUCGAGUUUGAUAAAUUAUCACUGGGCUGGGGAAAGCCACAGCAGCAUCCUUUGGGGGUUGAAGAGGUAAAUUGUUUGAUUUUGUUACAAAUAGCAUUUUUUUUUUCCAAUUAAGUUAUUGCACUUUGAAAAUCUAAUCUUGUUUGGUUCUGGUUACCAACUUUUACUUUCAUAUUUUUCCGAUUAAGACAUUAUAUAUUGAAAAUCUAACCAUUUUCAACACUAUAUUUUCUAUUAUAGCGCUAUACUUUCAAUAUCUAACUUAUAAGACCUUAUAUUUUUAAUUUUUCUUCUUUUUGGUCAUUUUACUUUGAAGUGGAUUUUUUUUCCUAUUAAGCAACUGUACUUUCAAUUAUCUUUUCAUAUUAUCAAAAUCUACUCAAUUAAAACAUUGUUUUUUCAACUAUGUUUACUCGCUUUGCAUUUUAAAACUCUAACCUGAAAAGACAUUGUAAAUUGAAAAUCUAAACAUGUUUGAUAUUGGUUAGAGUUUAUGUCAUAUUACUUUCUCUUGUAACUUUCAUUUCCUAUAAAGACAUGGCAUUCCAAAGUAGUCAUUGCACUUUUAUUUGUACAUCUAAGGUCCCUAAACAAAAAAUAUUAUUACUGAUAUUUUAAUAAAUAAAAAACAAAUCUAAACGUAAUAAAUACUUACUGCUUGUUUAUUAAUCCCCAAAUCCCCAAACUUCAACCUUUUUGCGGGAGAUCGAACCUAAAAAGCUUGAGAUAUUAAACCCUUCAACAUAGAAAUCGACUUCAAAACCCUUUAAAUGGAAUUCCUAAAACUCCAACCACUGAAAAACAAAAUAAAAACCCACCUCUAAGUUUAUAAGAUGAAACAAAAUAUCGAGAUCAAACACUUUAGUAGGAAAUCCAAAAUCUAGCCACCCCAAAUCUUAAAAAUUACAAAGCUAAAAUCAAUAUGGAAAUGUUUCUUAAGGCGUUGUACUUCUAAUCUUCUUUCUAUUAAAGCAUUUUAUCCCAUUAAAACCUUUAUUAUUAUACUUUGAAUAUCUACCAAAUUAUAAGAUUAUACUUUCAAACUUGAACCAAUUUAAAUAUUUACUUCUAACUUUUCUGUUUUAAGAUAUUUACUUUUCCAACAGGGACCAAAUUUACAGUUUACUUAACACUUAAUUUUUUUCCGAUUAAGACAUUUUACUUUUAUUAUUUCUUGUAUUAAGACACUGUGUAAAUAAAUUGUAACCAAUUAUAGCAUUAUAUCUUCAGUAUCUAACCUAUUAAGACAUUGUAUAUUUUAUUUUACUUCCCAAGAUAUCGUGGUUUGAAAGAUUACAGUUUAUAAUUUUCUUAUUGAGAUGUACAUAUCAAAGGUAACGACAUAUAGCACUCUAUACUUACAAAACGUUGUACCUUUCAAUUCUUUUUCUAAUUAAAACAUUGCAUAUAAGGGCAUCACUUUUCAUCUUGAUGACAUUGCUAUAAUUGGAUAGAUUUUCCAGGGCUACUUACUACAAAGAUGAAGUGCAAAUUAAUGUAUGUAUAAUCCUUAGACUUAGAUUGAGACUGAUUUCAACAUACUUCAUCUAUAUCAUAUGUGAAAUUUUUUGUUACUGGAUCAUAUGUUAAUACUUUAAUACUACAUAUUUUGUUUUACUAUUAGUACUUAAUAGAUAGAUAAUUUUCAUUAUCGAAUAUCAAUGAUUCCGUAACAAUAUUUUAAAACAAUAUAUGAAUGCUUUAUCUAUCUAUCUGUUUUUUAGUAAUAUUACAAUUUUGGUCCUCGUUUUGAGCUUUGUAAUGUUUUUGAUCCUUGUUCCAAGUAAAAUGACAAUAAUGCUAUGACCAAAACUUCAAAAAUUAUUGUUACAAGAAUCUCAAAUAAGACUACCCAAUUCAUAAUUCAUUAAUUAGCUAUAAUCAGGGACCAAAAGUGUAUUUUACUCUUCUUUAUAAGUUUGUGUGCUUCUGAUAAGUUCCACCUUUUUUGUAUCAGAUAAAACAUGUGAUUUGUGCAUAAUACAUAAAUGGUGUUUCUAUUUUUUUAAGAAUAACAUGGAUUCAUAUGUCCAUUUUCAUAUAGGGCAGUAAGUUAGUUCUAAAUGAACUACUAUUUAUUAAAGUUAGGUGAGCAGAUAAAGAAGGCAAGUGUUGCAAUGAUAAAGUAUUUGAGAUAGUAAACCUGGAUUGGAUGAUGUGACAAUUUGUUUGUCAAAGAGUGGAUGUGCUCUGAAGUUAGGUGAUGUUCAAUCAUUUCUUAUCAGUUGUUUCAGACCAGAUAAACAAGGCAAGGUUGUUACAAGCAAACCUCAAACUUCAAGCUCCUUCAAAAGAAUACCAAGAAAUCACUCUUCAAGCUCACUCACACUCAAACAUGGGAGAUGAUGCACGAAACUAGGGUUUAUGUACAGAGGGGACCGACAAGGAGGUCGUGCAAAGGCUAUAAAGCCUUUAAAUAAGGUGCAACACCCUAAAAAUUAAGGUUUCAUAUUGAGGCUCCUUGACUCGCUGAGUUUGCCCAUUAUUAUCCGCAGCCAAUGCCACUUCAACACGACGAGUUGAAGCCUUCCAACUCGUCGAGUUGCCAAGGAAAACAUGACUAAAGAUUUAAAUUUCAUACCUGAGGAUUGGGAUGUUACAACUCUCCCCCACUUGGACUAGGCUUUAUCCUCGAAGCCUUUUGCGGUAAACAACUUCGGGUAAUGCUCCCGUAUCUCUGCCUCUGGCUCCCAGGUCCACUUAGAGCCCCUCCGAUGUUGCCAACGUACCUUUACCAAAGGUAUUUCCUUGUUACGCAAAAUCUUCACUUUCUUCUCCAGGAUAACUAUCGGCCUCUCGACAUAGUUCAGGCGCUCAUCAGCCUGAAUAUCAUCCAAUGAUACCACUGCAUCCUCGUCCAAUACGCACUUUCACAACUGCGAAAUGUGGAAAGUGCUAUGAAUCUGAUUAAGCUCCUUCGGAAGAUCCAAUCUAUAAGCCACCUUGCCAACCAUGGCAAUAACCCGGAAUGGUCCAAUAUAUCGGGGGCCCAACUUCCCAUUUCCAAGGUGAGGCCUUUAGCAACAUCAUAUCACCGACCUGAAACUCCAACUUAGAUCGGCGUCGGUCGGCAUAGCUCUUUUGCCGACUCUAAGCAGUCUGCAAUCUCUGUCUGAUCUACUGAAUUAUCUAUGUAGUCUGCAGAACCACCUCGGUCCGACCCAUGACUUUGUGACCAACUUUCCCUCAAUAGACCGGGUUGCGACAUCUCCUCCCAUACAGGAGCUCAAAAGACAGAGCACCAAUGCUAAAAUGGAAGUUGUGGAGAACUCUGCAAGAGGUAGGUAGGAGUCCCAGCUCCUGUCAAAAUCAAUAACACAUGAUCGCAACAUAUCCUCGAGAAUCUGGAUGGUCCGUUCACUCUGGCUGUAGGUCUGCGGAUGAUAAGCUGUGCUGAAAAUGAAUGUAGCCUCGUGCCCAGUUCUUCAUGAAACUUCUGCCAAAAUCGGGAGGUGAACCGAACAUUACGGUCUGAAACAAUAGAAACCGGAACCCCAUGGCGAGCAACGAUCUCGUGAAUAUACCAUUAGCCAACUGUUGGAUUAGGUGUCUAAGCCCAUAACUAUUUUGGUAUGUACUUGAUUUGAUUAUGAGCAUGGUCCUUUUUGGUGUUCUCCACUCAUGCAACUUGAUAGGAUAACAAGAGGAAAAAAAGUAAACUUUAUUAUAUGAAUAAUAAAUUAGUACUAAAAAUGGUUUUAUUAAUAUAUUACAAGAUUACUAUAUUAUUAAUUAGUAUUGAUCAGAAAUUAAUUUGGAAUUAAGUUGGUGAUCAAAAGAGACUGAUUAAAUAAAGGGGACUGAUAUUGCAAUUAUCUGAUAGUUGCUAGUUGGGCUAUGGAUUCCUAAUAGAAGGGAUUGGACAAAAUCUAUGGAAGCCCAUAAAGAUUUCGUCUAAGGGGGCCUUCUAGAAGGGCUCCAUGGAUUGCAUAAGGCCUAAGCAAGAAAAUUAGGGUUUCCACCAUAAAACCGUAAUAGCCUCAGCUAUAAAUAUACCCCUUAGGAUGUGGAAUUGGGCUCUAUGUCUUCUUUGAGUUGCCCUGGCCGAUUUCACCUCUCUCCUAAGUCAUCUUCUUGCAUUGAGUGUCUGUGACUCCAUUAGAGGUGCAAAACUUAGGGCACUAGGCUUUCAGAAGUCAAUAUCAAGAAGGAUUAAACUUGUUAUUGCUACAUAACAAGAGAGGUAAAGAUUCUAACCCUAUUCAUAUGUGAUUUUCGAUAUAUGUGCUAGUCAUAGGGUUAUUGCUUUGGUAUUCAUAGUUGUAUGUUCAAAUUAGAAAAACCUAGAUCCAAAGCAAUUAGGGUUGCAUGUGCACCAUAACAAUGAUGUUAUGCUCAAAACCCAACAGUGGUAUCAGAGUGUAGGUCAUUUUUUUAUUUGAAUAGAUGCAAAAGCGAACUGCCAAAGGAUCAAAAAGUCGAAAUUUUGUUGUCUGACAUGUCUACUCGACGAGUCUAUGCCUGGACUCGACGAGUUCUAGAGUGGACUCGAUGAGCAAAGUGAUAUGUUGUCGGAUUUUUCGAUUUUUUGGUCAGAUUUUUAUUAUGAUAAUUACCAAAACUCGUUUUUAUUGUCUAAA